This 58-nucleotide transfer RNA is filed under the name Ictidomys tridecemlineatus (thirteen-lined ground squirrel). RNAcentral's name for it is "Spermophilus tridecemlineatus (thirteen-lined ground squirrel) tRNA". It matches the Rfam family "tRNA", at positions 8 to 63 of the family's 71-position model. Rfam says of the family: Transfer RNA (tRNA) molecules are approximately 80 nucleotides in length. Their secondary structure includes four short double-helical elements and three loops (D, anti-codon, and T loops). Lineage: Eukaryota; Metazoa; Chordata; Mammalia; Rodentia; Sciuridae. The record is from Rfam by way of RNAcentral.
UAGCUCAAUUGGUAGAGUGCUUGCCUGAUAUGCACAAGAUCCUGGGUUCAAUCCCCAG